CGUUGUCCGGAUUAUUGGGCGUAAAGAGCUUGUAGGCGGUUUGUCGCGUCUGCUGUGAAAGGCCGGGGCUUAACUCCGUGUAUUGCAGUGGGUACGGGCAGACUAGAGUGCAGUAGGGGAGACUGGAAUUCCUGGUGUAGCGGUGGAAUGCGCGGAUAUCAGGAGGAACACCGAUGGCGAAGGCAGGUCUCUGGGCUGUAACUGACGCUGAGAAGCGAAAGCAUGGGGAGCGAACAGGAUUAGAUACCCUGGUAGUCCAUGCCGUAAACGUUGGGCACUAGGUGUGGGGGACAUUCCACGUUUUCCGCGCCGUAGCUAACGCAUUAAGUGCCCCGCCUGGGGAGUACGGCCGCAAGGCUAAAACUCAAAGAAAUUGACGGGGGCCCGCACAAGCGGCGGAGCAUGCGGAUUAAUUCGAUGCAACGCGAAGAACCUUACCAAGGCUUGACAUAUACUGGACCGCAUCAGAGAUGGUGUUUCCCUUCGGGGCUGGUAUACAGGUGGUGCAUGGUUGUCGUCAGCUCGUGUCGUGA
RNAcentral lists this ribosomal RNA (533 nucleotides) under uncultured bacterium. RNAcentral's name for it is "bacterial SSU rRNA". It matches the Rfam family "Bacterial small subunit ribosomal RNA", at positions 539 to 1070 of the family's 1533-position model. The record is from RNAcentral.